This 85-nucleotide transfer RNA is filed under the name Corynebacterium bovis. Its description in RNAcentral is "tRNA-Leu". It matches the Rfam family "tRNA". Rfam says of the family: Transfer RNA (tRNA) molecules are approximately 80 nucleotides in length. RNAcentral also lists the same sequence under 1 other name. Lineage: Bacteria; Bacillati; Actinomycetota; Actinomycetes; Mycobacteriales; Corynebacteriaceae. The record is from RNAcentral.
GCGCCCGUGGCGGAAUCGGCAGACGCGCCGGGUUUAGGUCCCGGUGUCCUCGGACGUGGGGGUUCAAGUCCCCCCGGGCGCACCA